GAAUAUUGGACAAUGGGCGAAAGCCUGAUCCAGCAAUGCCGCGUGUGUGAAGAAGGUCUUCGGAUUGUAAAGCACUUUAAGUUGGGAGGAAGGGCAGUAAGCGAAUACCUUGCUGUGUUGACGUUACCGACAGAAUAAGCAAGCGCGACCUCUGUGCCAGCGGCCGCGGUAACACAGAGGGUGCAAGCGUUAAUCGGAAUUACUGGGCGUAAAGCGCGCGUAGGUGGUUCGUUAAGUUGGAUGUGAAAUCCCUGGGCUCAACCUGGGAACUGCAUCCAAAACUGGCGAGCUAGAGUAGGGCAGAGGGUGGUGGAAUUUCCUGUGUAGCGGUGAAAUGCGUAGAUAUAGGAAGGAACACCAGUGGCGAAGGCGACCACCUGGGCUCAUACUGACACUGAGGUGCGAAAGCGUGGGGAGCAAACA
This 423-nucleotide ribosomal RNA is filed under the name uncultured bacterium. RNAcentral's name for it is "partial 16S ribosomal RNA". It matches the Rfam family "Bacterial small subunit ribosomal RNA", at positions 359 to 774 of the family's 1533-position model. The record is from RNAcentral.